GAUGAACGCUAGCGACAGGCCUAACACAUGCAAGUCGAGGGGCAGCACGAUGUAGCAAUACGUUGGUGGCGACCGGCGCACGGGUGAGUAACACGUAUGUAACCUACCCUGUACAGGGGGAUAACCCGGAGAAAUUCGGACUAAUACUCCAUGGAGAUAUACUGGGGCAUCCUGGUAUAUUUAAAGCUUCGGUGGUACGGGAUGGGCAUGCGGAACAUUAGCUAGUUGGCAGGGUAACGGCCUACCAAGGCUACGAUGUUUAGGGGUCCUGAGAGGGUGGUCCCCCAACUGGUACUGAGACACGGACCAGACUCCUACGGGAGGCAGCAGUGAGGAAUAUUGGUCAAUGGGCGCAAGCCUGAACCAGCCAUCCCGCGUGCAGGAAGACGGCCCUAUGGGUUGUAAACUGCUUUUCCAGGGAGAGAAACUUACGCACGUGUUGCGUGACUGACGGUACCCUGGGAAUAAGCAUCGGCUAACUCCGUGCCAGCAGCCGCGGUAAGCGACG
This 508-nucleotide ribosomal RNA is filed under the name uncultured bacterium. Its description in RNAcentral is "bacterial SSU rRNA". It matches the Rfam family "Bacterial small subunit ribosomal RNA", at positions 28 to 527 of the family's 1533-position model. The record is from RNAcentral.